This 263-nucleotide ribosomal RNA is filed under the name Salmonella enterica. RNAcentral describes it as "partial 23S ribosomal RNA". The record is from RNAcentral. Lineage: Bacteria; Pseudomonadati; Pseudomonadota; Gammaproteobacteria; Enterobacterales; Enterobacteriaceae.
GGUUAAGCGACUAAGCGUACACGGUGGAUGCCCUGGCAGUCAGAGGCGAUGAAGGRCGUGCUAAUCUGCGAUAAGCGCCGGUAAGGUGAUAUGAACCGUUAUAACCGGCGAUUUCCGAAUGGGGAAACCCAGUGUGACUCGUCACACUAUCAUUAACUGAAUCCAUAGGUUAAUGAGGCGAACCGGGGGAACUGAAACAUCUAAGUACCCCGAGGAAAAGAAAUCAACCGAGAUUCCCCCAGUAGCGGCGAGCGAACGGGGAG